CAUCCAAUUCGGUUCUUUACAUAUGUUUUGGGAGUAUGGCCAACUUCACCUCUGCUCAGUUAAAGGAGAUCGCCAUGGCCCUUGAAGUAUCAGAGGUGCAGUUCAUUUGGGUUGUGAGGAAGCCAAAGAACAAUGAAGAAGAUGAGGAUUGGUUGCCAGAAGGGUUUGAGAAGAGAAUGGAAGGGAAGGGACUUAUAAUAAGAGGAUGGGCACCCCAAGUUUUGAUUCUUGAUCAUGAAGCAGUGGGAGGAUUUGUGACUCAUUGUGGAUGGAAUUCAACCUUGGAAGGCGUGUGUGCUGGUGUGCCUAUGGUCACUUGGCCAAUAUUUGCAGAGCAGUUCUACAAUGAAAAGUUGGUGACUCAAGUCUUGAAGAUUGGAGUGGCCGUUGGUGUUCAGAAAUGGGUGAGACUGGAGGGAGAUUUUGUGGAAAGGGGAGCCAUUGAAAAGGCAGUGAAGGAGAUCAUGAAGAGUGAUAGAGCAGAAGCAAUGAGAAACAAAGCCAAAGCACUGGCCGAAACAGCAAAAAAAGCUGUUGAAAAAGGAGGGUCUUCUUACUCUGAUUUGGAUGCUCUGAUUGAAGAAAUAAGCUUACAUUCUCAUUAAAUCCAUAGACAUUUCAUAUUGUCGGUUGGUUCUUCAACUUCAUGCAUGUUUUGCUGUACUGUUAAAUUGGAAGAGCCCUCCUUUCAGGGUUCAUAUAUUAAAAUAAAUUUAUACACAUAAAAAAUGUACCAUGUCAACUUCCUUCAUUCAAAGAAAGUUAACCCUAAAUGUUAUCCUCCACCAGUAAUAAUAUCAAUGUUAAUUGAAUAAAUUUAAGCAAAACUUAUGUUGUCCUACAUCAGUAAUAAUAUUAAUAUUCUUUUUGUUGAAUUAUGUCAUCAAAAGAAAAUAAAUAAUUUGCUUAAAUAAGAUUUUCAAUUAUAAUUUUACUUAAAUAACCUAUAAUAAUUAAAUUAAAUUAAAAAUUGAUGUUCUUGAUAAAAAUAAUAAUUAAGCAUAAAAUAAUUUGAUGCAAAUUUUUAAAAGAUAAAAGAGUCCUAAUAAUUAAAAAUAUAGAAAAUAAUAUUGAUAGUUUGUCAAUUGGAUAAAAAUAAAAAGUAAAAAUCUUUUUACUUUUAAAUUUAUUUUCUAAUAUUUUCUAAUUUUAUCAUUUUAGUCCUAAUUUAUUUUAUCACUUUGACCAUUAACUUUUAAAUUUUAAUCAAUUUACUUUAUUUCUCUUUAUCUCAUUCCGGACAGAGAUAAUUUAAAAAAAAAAAUUAAUCAAUUUGCUUUAUUUCUCUUCAUCUCAUUCCAGACAGGGAUAAUUUUUUAAAAAAAAUUAUCAACAUAUUUUAAAUUUUGUUGAAUUUACUAAUAUUUUUUAUUAAUUUGAACAGAGUAAGAUUGAGACUGACGAAUGAAGGAAUAUAUUCCUUUCUCGAUCCUAGAUUAUACAGGUCAUCACUUCAGUGUCAGCGGAAAUUCAUCACACAAUAAUUUCAAUUUCAAACAAUCCCAGAAAUUUCCAGUUUCAUCACCUAUGACUUCUAAUCUAAAUUCAACUGUUUUUGAGUGUUUUUCAAGGGAAAAUGAGAAGAGAAAUUCAUAUGUUCUUCCUUCCAUUCUUGGCUCAUGGUCACCUCAUCCCAGUAGUGGAUAUGGCCGAGAUGUUUGCGAGUCGAGGAGUGAAGACAGACAACUAUAUUUACCACUCCAGUCAACGCUCUUCUCUUCUCCAACACAAUCGAGAGAAGCAAGGAAUCUGGUAUCCACAUCGGUGUUGAGCUUCUCAACUUCCCGGCUGUCGACGUUGGGUUGCCUGAAGGGUGUGAAAAUGUUGACUUGAUCCCUACUUCCCAAGACGGAAAUUUGGAAAUGAUUACCAAUUUCUUCCAGGCCGCACUCAUGCUUCAACAACCCUUUGAAAAGCUGCUACAAGGACGUAAACCAGAUUGUUUGGUGGCUGAUACGUUCUUCCAUUGGGCUACUGAUGCUGCAAACAAAUUCAGGAUCCCCAGGUUGGUUUUUCAUGGAAUUAGCUACUUUUCAUUUUGUGCAUCGGAGUGCAUGAGUCUAUACAAGCCAUACAAGAAGUUCAGUCCGAUUCCCAACCUUUUGUGGUGCCUAACCUACCAGGCGAUUUCAAGUUAACAAGAAACCAAGUGCCGGAUUACGUCAAACAAGAUGCUGAAACUAAUUCUACCAAGCUGUUGAAAGCAAUCAAGGAAGCAGAGCUGAAAAGCUACGGCGUAGUUGUCAACAGUUUUUACGAGCUGGAGGCAACCUAUGCUGAUUACUACAGGAAUGUAUUGGGGAAAAAGUCUUGGCAUGUCGGCCCAGUUUCGCUCUGCAGCGGGAAAAAUAUAGAUAAAGUUGAGAGGGGAAACAAAUCAGCCAUUGAUGAGCAGGAGUGUUUGGAGUGGCUUGAGUCAAAAGAACCCAAUUCGGUUCUUUACAUAUGUUUUGGGAGUAGGACCAACUUUACAUCUUCUCAAUUAAAGGAGAUCGCCAUGGCCCUUGAAGCAUCGGAGUUGCAGUUCAUUUGGGUUGUGAGGAAGCAAAAGAACAAUGAAGAAGAGGAUGAUUGGUUGCCAGAAGGGUUUGAGAAGAGAAUGGAAGGGAAGGGACUUAUAAUAAGAGGGUGGGCACCCCAAGUGUUGAUUCUUGAUCAUGAAGCCGUUGGGGGAUUUGUGACUCAUUGUGGAUGGAAUUCAACCUUGGAAGGCGUGUGUGCUGGUGUGCCUAUGGUCACUUGGCCAAUAUUUGCAGAGCAGUUCUACAAUGAAAAGUUGGUGACUCAAGUCUUGAAGAUUGGAGUGGCCGUUGGUGUUCAGAAAUGGGUGAGACUGGAGGGAGAUUUUGUGGAAAGGGG
RNAcentral lists this long non-coding RNA (2859 nucleotides) under Gossypium barbadense (sea-island cotton). RNAcentral describes it as "long non-coding RNA (GBAR_LNC012150)". The record is from RNAcentral. Lineage: Eukaryota; Viridiplantae; Streptophyta; Magnoliopsida; Malvales; Malvaceae.